Molecule: ribosomal RNA, 581 nt
Filed under: Trichosporon asahii
Lineage: Eukaryota; Fungi; Basidiomycota; Tremellomycetes; Trichosporonales; Trichosporonaceae
Description: eukaryotic LSU rRNA
Rfam family: Eukaryotic large subunit ribosomal RNA
Source: RNAcentral
CGAGUGAGCGGGAAGAGCUCAAAUUUGAAAUCUGGCAGUCUUCGAUUGUCCGAGUUGUAAUCUAUAGAGGCGUUUUCCGUGCCGGACCGUGUCCAAGUCUCCUGGAAAGGAGUAUCAAAGAGGGUGAUAAUCCCGUACUUAACACGACCACCGGUGCUCUGUGAUACGUCUUCUACGAGUCGAGUUGUUUGGGAAUGCAGCUCAAAAUGGGUGGUGAAUUCCAUCUAAAGCUAAAUAUUGGCGAGAGACCGAUAGCGAACAAGUACCGUGAGGGAAAGAUGAAAAGCACUUUGGAAAGAGAGUUAAACAGUACGUGAAAUUGUUGAAAGGGAAACGAUUGAAGUCAGUCGUGUUCUUUGGAUUCAGCCAGUUCUGCUGGUCUACUUCCUUGGAACGGGUCAACAUCAGUUUUGUCCGGUGGAUAAAGGUAGUAGGAAUGUGACUUCUCCGGAAGUGUUAUAGCCUAUUAUCACAUACACUGGGUGAGACUGAGGACUGCAGCUCGCCUUUAUGGCCGGCCUUCGGGCACGUUCGAGCUUAGGAUGUUGACAUAAUGGCUUUAAACGACCCGUCUUGAACCA